Molecule: ribosomal RNA, 253 nt
Filed under: uncultured bacterium
Lineage: Bacteria
Description: partial 16S ribosomal RNA
Rfam family: Bacterial small subunit ribosomal RNA
Source: RNAcentral
GACAGAGGUGCCAAGCGUUAGGCAGAAUCACUGGGCUUAAAGCGUGUGUAGGCGGAUCGUUAAGUACCUUGUGAAAUCCCACGGCUCAACCGUGGAACUGCUGGGUAUACUGGCGGUCUUGAGCCACCUAGGGGCAACUGGAACAAGCGGUGGAGCGGUGAAAUGCGUAGAUAUCGCUUGGAACGCCAACGGUGAAAACAGGUUGCUGGGGGUGUGCUGACGCUGAGACACGAAAGCCAGGGGAGCGAACGGG